GCGUAAUUGGUUUAGUGGUAAAAUUCUCCGUUGCCAUCAGGCAAAUAUCGGGGAGCCCUGGGUUCGAUUCCCAGAUUACGCA
This is a non-coding RNA of Fusarium poae, 82 nucleotides long. The record is from Rfam. NCBI's taxonomy places the organism in Eukaryota, Fungi, Ascomycota, Sordariomycetes, Hypocreales, Nectriaceae.